RNAcentral lists this ribosomal RNA (495 nucleotides) under uncultured bacterium. RNAcentral's name for it is "bacterial SSU rRNA". It matches the Rfam family "Bacterial small subunit ribosomal RNA", at positions 29 to 518 of the family's 1533-position model. The record is from RNAcentral.
AUGAACGCUAGCGGCAGGCUUAACACAUGCAAGUCGAGGGGCAUCGGGAGUAGCAAUACUGCCGGCGACCGGCGCAAGGGUGCGUAACGCGUGAGCAACAUGCCCGUAUCAGGGGGAUAAUCCAUGGAAACGUGGUCUAAUACCCCAUAGUAAUUAUGUAAGGCAUCUUAUAUAAUUUAAAGCUUUGGUGGAUACGGAUUGGCUCGCGUGACAUUAGCUGGAUGGUAAGGUAACGGCUUACCAUGGCUACGAUGUCUAGGGGUUCUGAGAGGAAGGUCCCCCACACUGGAACUGAGACACGGUCCAGACUCCUACGGGAGGCAGCAGUGAGGAAUAUUGGACAAUGGAUGGAAAUCUGAUCCAGCCAUGCCGCGUGCAGGAAGAACCGGCCCUAUGGGUUGUAAACUGCUUUUGUAUGGGAGCAAUAAGGGCUACGUGUAGUCCGAUGAGAGUACCAUACGAAUAAGCACCGGCUAACUCCGUGCCAGCAGCAGC